RNAcentral lists this ribosomal RNA (437 nucleotides) under uncultured bacterium. RNAcentral's name for it is "partial 16S ribosomal RNA". It matches the Rfam family "Bacterial small subunit ribosomal RNA", at positions 341 to 792 of the family's 1533-position model. RNAcentral also lists the same sequence under 1 other name. The record is from RNAcentral.
ACGGGAGGCAGCAGUGAGGGAUAUUGCACAAUGGGGGAAACCCUGAUGCAGCAACGCCGCGUGGAGGAAGACGGUUUUCGGAUUGUAAACUCCUGUCUUUGGUGAAGAAAAAAAUGACGGUAGCCAAGGAGGAAGCCACGGCUAACUACGUGCCAGCAGCCGCGGUAAUACGUAGGUGGCAAGCGUUAUCCGGAAUUACUGGGUGUAAAGGGGGCGCAGGCGGGACUGCAAGUUGGAUGUGAAAUACCGCAGCUUAACUGCGGAGCUGCAUCCAAAACUGUAGUUCUUGAGUGGAGUAGAGGUAAGCGGAAUUCCGAGUGUAGCGGUGAAAUGCGUAGAUAUUCGGAAGAACACCGGUGGCGAAGGCGGCUUACUGGGCUCUUACUGACGCUGAGGCCCGAAAGUGUGGGGAGCAAACAGGAUUAGAUACCCUGGUA